This 776-nucleotide ribosomal RNA is filed under the name uncultured Neocallimastigales. Its description in RNAcentral is "partial large subunit ribosomal RNA". It matches the Rfam family "Eukaryotic large subunit ribosomal RNA", at positions 24 to 645 of the family's 3401-position model. Lineage: Eukaryota; Fungi; Neocallimastigomycota; Neocallimastigomycetes; Neocallimastigales. The record is from RNAcentral.
UAUCUCUGUAGAGUCUGCAUAUCAAUAAGCGGAGGAAAAGAAACUAACUAGGAUUCCCUCAGUAACGGCGAGUGAAGCGGGAAGAGCUCAAAUUUGAAAUCUUCAAGGUUCUACCUUGACGAAUUGUAGUUUAAAGAAGUGUUUUCUGUUGGAAUUUUGGUAAAAGUUCUUUGGAAUAAGGACAUCAAUAGAGGGUGAGAAUCCCGUAUUUGACCAUUAUUUCCAGCUUUGUGAUACACUUUCAAAGAGUCGGAUUGUUUGGGAAUGCAGUCCAAAAUGGGUGGUAAAUUUCAUCUAAAGCUAAAUACUGGCGAGAGACCGAUAGCGAACAAGUACCGUGAGGGAAAGAUGAAAAGAACUUUGAAAAGAGAGUUAAACAGGUACGUGAAAUUGUCAAAAGGGAAGCGUUUGACACGAGUGUUGUUUUCUCGAAAAUCAAUUAAAAAUGGCGGGAUUUUGUGUUGUAUUGACUUUAUCAGCUUUCUGCACUUUUUUCUUGUCUUUUUUAAUGCACUUUUCGUUUAACAAGUCAACAUCAGUUUCUUUUGUUGUAAAAGGUCAUUGGAAGGUGGCUUUCUUUUCGGAGAAAGUGUUUAUAGCCUUUGACUUCUGCAAUCGGAGAGAUUGAGGUCUGCAGCGUAGAUCCUUCGGGGUUAGAUGCAUUUGUGCUAAGUUAUAGCCUUUCAUAGACAACUUGUUGACUAUGAUCAGUCAUGUAGCUUACUCGCUUAUGUUAUUUUACCUACGCUUAGGAUGUUGAUCUCUCACAGUCGAGC